This is a long non-coding RNA of Neogale vison (American mink), 250 nucleotides long. RefSeq lists it as uncharacterized. The record is from RefSeq and is a predicted model, not a curated record. The transcript has 4 exons. Lineage: Eukaryota; Metazoa; Chordata; Mammalia; Carnivora; Mustelidae.
GGCCAAUCUUGCUCCCUCCAGACUAGUUGCGCUCCAGAUUCUCCGAUUCUUCAAGGGAACGAGGGUGUUGCAAACUGCGGCCAGAGGUCCAAAUCCCGUUGCUGUUCCUGUGAGGUUCAAGAGGUUCCCCCGGUUUGGUAAUGAGGAUGGGAUCGCAUUGGCUGGGCCUCUGUUGGCUCUGGGAUCUGCAGCUGACAGGUCCUGGGGCCUGAUGAAGCCCACAGGUAAGAGAGAAACAGCAAGAGAGGGA